AUACGGUGAGUCAAGUACUUCUUACAUUUCAUGUUUUGAGACCAUAUUUUUUAUAAGUGAGUUAGUAUGCUUUGUUGAUUCAAAACUCAGAUACGGAGAUUUUUCUAAGUGAGUUAGUAUCCUCGGAAUUUAUUUUGUUUGAUUCAAAGACAUUUUGUAAGCAAACGGUUAUUGGUUUAUAUAUUUGGUAAAAAAGUUUACUGAAGAAUAUCCUAGAUUGUAUUGGUUAUUUGAUAAACUAUGUUGCCUAUUGCCAAUAGCUACUGCGUGUGAAGGAAAUAUCCGUACUUGCUCUUUGUUUAUCCAAGAACAUUCUCUCUUAUCAUUCCAUGUUUCUCUGUAAUUAAUCUCUAUAUAUGUUAGAUUUGUUCUCGGAUCGCUCAUGUUUUUUUUGGUUAUUUACUUUUUGUCCAUUAUUUUGAUAAGUAUCUCGGUUAUUCUGUUUUGUUUGCAGAUUGUCCCGGCUUGAUUUCCAUUUGGAUUUUGUACAGUAUAUAAGUUGACGAGCGUUGUGAGAGGACUUCUUUAGAUUCUCUGCACCAACGAGUACCAAAAGAGCAAACCACAAAUCAUUGGUCUGAGAAAUAUACGGUAUUUUCAUCGGGGCGCGAGAAGAGAUAGGGAAGCGUUGCCAUUUUCAGAUUAAGAAACUUUUAACUUGCGGCUCCGACGAAGGCGAUAGAGAGAUAAUUUGCGAGGUUAAUCGAGUGGAGAGCUUCUGUCAAUUCCGAGAUGACUACGAGGCGUAGACGGCCAGGGAAAGAGCAUGUGGGCGAGGAGGAUAAUCCCGGCGGGCGCGGUUCUAGAUCUAUUCAAAACUCCCAUUAGGGUUUUAAUUUGUAGAUUAGGGUUUCAUUUAGGGGUGUGGUUCUAGAUUUCCAAGUUCUCUAAGUUUUUUUCUGGUUUUUGUUUGUUUUACAGAGAUGGCGCAAACUGAAGAGGGAGUAAAAGGUCAAAGCUUGUUGCUAGUUUUUGUGUUUUGACAAAAUUGUGGUCGGAUGUACACCAACACGUGUGUACAUAUGAACAACCAGGAUUUUGUACAUGUGUACACGCGUGUAUAUGUACAUAAUAAGUAAUGUUGAUAUGAGUAUUCUUAUUGAUAAGUUGGCAUGUAUAUGUUGUGUUUGUUGGUGUAGGAGCCGGUGCAUAUGAACAAUAUCCAUGUGUACACCGAUGUAAUGAUAUUCACAUGUACACAAAAAUGUAAACUUUCCAAGAAUAUAGCAAUACCAAUCUACUCCAUUGCAAAUUCAAUUUUAUUUUUUAUUCGAAUACUUUAUACAUUGAGAACCAUUUAAAACAUUAUUAUAAACUGGAUCACAUAUUUCAUUGAUGGGGUGGAUUUAUAUUGUUUAAACCAAUCAUCUGUAUAGUGAGUGAAAUAAGUGUACACAAGGGAAUGUGCACAUAUGGACAUUAGAAAGAGUGUGUACACAUGAGAACAAUAUCCACGUGUAUACCUAAAUACAAUAUCCACAUGUACAUGAUAUCCAUAUGUACACACAAUUAACAUAAAAAAACAUAAUAUCCAUAUGUACGCAAUCAUCAUAACUAGUUCAGUUCAUGUAAUGUUGUCUUGACUCAGUUCGAAAUGACCGUAGAAGUACAAGACAGAUCCAUGGUGGAUAAGCAUGACCGGCGGUGUGGAGAUUCCGGUUACAAGUUCCUUUGUGUUAGGCGGCCAAUAACUCAAAACCACCGGAGGUGCCGCAGCCGUGACGGUGAAGAACUCGUUGACGACGUUGUUUUGUAAUUCAAGCAAGGACAUAUCUGGGAAAACGAGAAUAAUUCGUGACAUGAUUUCCUUGUCCAUCGCGAAAUUCCAACGAGAGUCACCGGAACUCCAUUCGCCAGCAAUGAAUCGAGAGAGAUGGUUGAAGGUUGGGAUUUUUGGAUUUAUGAGGACAAAAAAAUCAGCCGAUAAAGAUGAUGAUGUGUUAAAAAAGAUAAGAUGAAUCUGGACCAUUCAUGUUAAAGUUACAAUAGUAGAUCCAAUGGUCAUAAAAUAAGACAAAUACAAAUUUUGUUAAAGUGUAUUAUAAUUAAUACUAGGGGGUGUCCGCGCUUCGCGCGGAAUAUUGUUUUAUUAUCGUUAAAAGUAUGAUUUGUUGGAUAAUGUAAUUAUGUGAUCACUUUUAUUUGUUAAGAAUGUUAUUUGGUGUUUUUAUUGUGUUAUGUAGUAGUAAUAGUGAUAUGUUAAUAUAUUUUGUCUUUGUUUUUUUCAUAAUGUGUUUUGUCUGUAUAGUAUUUGUUAGCAGUGAAGUGAGCCUCUAAUAUAAAAAUAUAUUGUAUUUCAAUAACUUUGCAUUUAUGCAUUUGUUGAUUCUAAGAUUUACGGUUUCAGCGUCAAAAUUUUCUUUUAAUUUUUUUUAUAUUUUUGAACAUUAUAACUUUCAAGAUGUUUUCGUUUUUUUCCCAUAUUUUUACAUUGAGCCUUCAACAUCUAUGUAUUUUCUUUACAUUGCUGGUAUGCGGUAUUUCUCAUCAUCACCAAAAAAGACUCACCUCAUGCUCUUGUUCUUUAUCGCCUUCUUCACCUUGAGAUUUCUGGUAUUUAUUGUAGAUCGGGUUUAGGAGUUCCCAGUUGUGCGGUUGUUUCUCGCAUCAUUUUAGGCUACUCCAUGCAAUAUUGGAUGCUCCUCUUCUUCCUUAGAUUUUAGCUGAUGUUAGGAACUGCAUCUCUUUGGGUUGGGUCAGAGUUUAGUCGUCUUUGAAGUUGUUUUCCUCGUCGUUGGCUUACCAUUGUUACUCCCCUCUCGUCCUGGUUUUCAAGAUAUGGUUUUUGGUGAUCUGACUUCUAUAGCUUGAGGACGGCUCCACGAUUUGAUGAUUUCGUUUUGUCUACCCUUCCAGCUAUGUUCUUUCAUCUCGUUGCAGCUUUCAACCCUGCUUGCGUCUCUGUGACUCUCUCUCUUUUUCGCCAUGUUUGCCACUCUAGGUUUGGAUAGUGUUCUCCUCCGAGUAUGCUCUGUAGAUUUGGAAGAUUGUUUCUGGUCUCAAGUCUGGACUCAUGUUUCUCGGGGGUUGGCUUCAUUUCUCCUUCACUCAUGUUGUUCUCUUCUUCCCUUAGUAUAAAUGUGUGAUAUUAGACUCUUGGAGCUUUGGUCCCUUCUAUCCAGAAUUUUGUGGUUUUUCCCCGGCAUAGGCAUCUUGUUUGUGCUUGUUUAGUUUGUGAGAUGCUUCUUACCUCUUAGCUGGUGGUUGUGCUUAUCGUUUGUUAUGUAUGUCUCUUCCUGCUUCGUGGUGAUUUUGGCCUUUUGUUGAUUAUUCUCACUCUAACCCGCUUUCUUGGUUCUUUGCAUUGGUCCUUGAUCACGGUCAUUUGUGUUCGAGGGAUUGCUUUAUCUGAAGAUUAUAUUUCUACAUUUUACUGACUUUUGAUUGUUCUGGCCAAGAUACUCUAUGAUAAAGUGGGAUAAGUUAGUUUUCGUUCUUGAUCGCCUUUGAGCUCUGGACCUUUAUUGAGUUAGUGUUUCUUUGGCAUUUUUUUUCUCUGGAAUUAUGGUGGUUUUAUGUUUAAAUUAUGUGUUCUCCUUUAGUUUGGUUAAUAUUAAGAUAAAUAUAUAGUUGUAAAUGAAAUAAUAGAAAAUAGUAAAAAAUAAUAAAAUAACGAAAGUUUAUGUUAUUUUUAGCUGCGAAUAAAUUAAAUAUUUAAAGUACAUUUAUAUUUUUUACUUAUUUCUUUAUUCGUUUUGCAAUUUUUUGAACAAUAAAAUAGAUUAAAAUAUAUUAGCAAAAUUCAAAUGAUGAUGGUUAGUGUGAGAAGAAUUAGAUAAUGUAUAAUUAGAAAAUAGUGAAUCAAAUUGCAAUAAUCUAAAAGAAAAAAGAUCUAAAAUGUAAAAAGACAAAAAGAUGACACAUGGCAGCAAACCCCCCUGCCACUUGUCGGAAGAAGGGAAAAAGUCUACUUUAUAUAUAAAGAUUGUCUGUCGGAUAGGAGAGGAGAUGUGUGGCUGAGGUUAAUUUCCGCUUAUUCUCUAGUUAGGUCAAUAAAUUUUAGACGGUUAGUGUAUUUUAGUUAGGAUUCAAUAGGUUGUUGGAAGAAAGUUUGUGUAACAAUAAGUGACCUAUUAUGAUAUAAAAGAUAGAAAGUGACUCUCAGUGUAAUUGUUUCAAGAAAAUAAAACAUAUAAGGAACAAUAAAAAUACAAUUGAUGAAAUACAAUUGGUGUUUACAAAGAUCGAUUAAGUGGACCCCCUUAAGAUCCUCUAGGCCAGAGUAAAAUAACGUUAAGAAAGGAUACGUCUUCACGAACUCACCAUAAUUCUAAACAUUUUUGUAAAUUUCACUAAUUGCUUAGACAGAACAACUUAAAAAUAAGAUUCUUUUUGACCAUCAAUAAACAGUAUUUUGUGAUUAGAAACUAUAAAAAUAUACCAAACAGGCAACAUAAAAAUCUUAGAUAAUUAAGAUAAAACUACUUAAAUUCACUGCAAACAAAACUUACAUAAGAUUGAUUAAGAAGUUCAUUACGAAAAUAAAACACACAGAUAAACUACCAUAUAAGAUUACCUAAGAAAUUCAUUACGCAAAACGACACCCACACAUUAGCUAAAAUACUACCGAAAAUUCUGAUUGGUUAAGCGCAUUGUCCCCGUCCUCGCCUCAGGCCACCGUCACCGUCUUUCUUAUCCGCCUCUCUGGCUUUUCUCUCCUCUUCGAUCUUUCUCUUCUCUUCCUCAUCUUUCUCUUUGGCAAUUUUCUCAGCUUCCUCUCGAUCCCUUCUCUCUUCCUCUUUUUUGGCUCGGUUCUCUUCAUAGCAAGUGGAGUAGCGAAGAUGCAAGGCUAGCAACACUAGAUACCCACCUAGCAUGACCAGAAAUUGUCCCAAAGGAGAUCGAUAUAAAUGGGUUGCAGUACCAAAGAACAAAGUAAAAACCCCAUCGAGUAACCCGAAGUCUUCUAGCAUGUAGAAAAACUUUGAGAGCAAAACCAGAUGGAGGAAAAUGAGGACAAGCCCAAGAACAAGGAAAUAAGAGACAUCUCCUAGGAGUAUUAUGAAACCCAAAACAAAGGUCUGGAGAACAGUUUUCCCAAGUCCAUAAAGGUUUCUAAAACGUUUGGAUCUAGGAUACUCAUCUCGAUUGAGAAGCAAAUUCCACAAAAGGAGAUGCAUGUAGAGAAUGAAACCAACGCAUGAAACCAUGAACUUCAAACCGACUUGAGGAGAUGUACGUAGAACGGAAAUUAGAAUAGAGACAAAAGCUCCAAUAGCGAAUGAAGUUGUAAAACCCGCGAGGUUGUUUCUCUCUGACAAGAACUCUGAAGAUUUAAGAGAUAUCCUAUCUAGCUUUCUCUCACAAAACUCUAUCAGAAACCAUCAGUCUCGAGAAACUUGGGGAAGCUAUCCUAGAAACCAUCAUUAAAAGACAACUCGAAAACUUGGAGAUGAUAUAGUGGGAAAGGUCUCGAGUCGGUCUACAUAGGAUUAGUAUGAAAGCCCUAGGUAUAAUGAUAAUAAAGCAAGUAUUGGUGUGGGUCCCAAUGCGUUCUGCCCUUUAUUGUACAACGAUUUUGAAAAAGUUAUAUAUACACGUGUUAUUGCAAUUAAAAAGGUUAUAAUUAUUUUGAGCAUAGAAGUUUUACCUGGAUCCAAAAAUCCAAUUUGAACCGGUUUAAAAAUAUCUGACAUGGAAUCAAAACAAAAGUUUACAAACAACUAACAACUGGUUGGAUUUAAAAUUUUUCUAUCCGAAAAGAAUCGAUCCGAAUAGAUUUGGACCGACUAGAUCUGAACUGAUAAAAACCGAUUUAUCCGGCCUAAAAAUAUGAAUUUCCAAGACUACGGUUCCAUGCGUUCUAUUUUCUAUAUUUUAAUUUAUGAUUUAGUUGAAAUGUCUUUUUGUUUGUAUUUUUUCAUUAUUAUUUUGUAAAAUUUAAAGUAAUAUGAGACUUUAAAUAUCAAAUUUAAAAAUAUUUUAAUUGAAUUAUUAAUAGCUUAUUUUUGAUUAUUUUGUAAUUUUUAAAGAAAUAUGACGGUUACGAUUGAAUUAUUAAUGGUUUGUUACGAUUGAAUUUUGAUGAGGUUCAAAUGCUUUGAGUAUUUGUCGGGCGUAAAUACUCAGACCGACGUGAAUACGUUUCGUAUUAUAUUGAGAUGAUUACAUAAAGCAACAGAUACAGGGAUGAUACCAAAAGAGAAAUGUAUGUUUUUCUUUUGUUUAUAGGGAAAAAAAGAACGUGUAUUUGAUAGAUCCAAUACGUAUAUACGUAUAGGGAAAAAAAGAACGUGUAUUUGCAUUCAUGCACUGUGUGUGAGGGUAACGGAUAUAUAGUAUUUUGUCUUUACAUAAAUUGAUUUCAUGGUCAAGAAAGGACAGUAGUAACACACUUAUAUUACGAUCAUAACCUUGAAAUAUACUUAACCAAAUCAACAACAUACGUUACCAUAUUUUCACUUUCUUAUUGAAAAAAAUAAACCGUCUACAUUAGUAAAUGUGCAUAUAUGUAAAUCAUUUACCAAACUAAUAAUUAUAUUGAAUUUUUCUGUUUGUUUCUCUUGGGUUCGACUACUAUUCGAAACAAUUUUUA
Brassica napus (rape) is the source of this 6535-nucleotide long non-coding RNA. RefSeq lists it as uncharacterized. NCBI's taxonomy places the organism in Eukaryota, Viridiplantae, Streptophyta, Magnoliopsida, Brassicales, Brassicaceae. The record is from RefSeq and is a predicted model, not a curated record. The transcript has 3 exons.